RNAcentral lists this ribosomal RNA (3297 nucleotides) under Triticum aestivum (bread wheat). RNAcentral's name for it is "partial small subunit ribosomal RNA". Lineage: Eukaryota; Viridiplantae; Streptophyta; Magnoliopsida; Poales; Poaceae. The record is from RNAcentral.
AUGGCCUCUCCAACAUCGUCUACUCCCAUUCCCAUCUUCUUCAUACUCGCGCUACUGUCGGUCCUCUCAUCAUCUUCUCCCAGCCCGGCCAGCAGCUCCGGCGGCGACACCGACCUCGCCGCGCUGCUGGCUUUCAAAGCCCAGCUCGCCGACCCUCUUGGCAUCCUUGCCGGCAACUGGACCACCGGCACGUCCUUUUGUUACUGGGUCGGCGUCUCGUGCAGCCGGCGCAGGCAACGGGUCACCGCUCUGUCGUUGCCGGGCAUGCCGCUCGCUGGUUCCAUGACAACUCAUGUCGGUAACCUCUCUUUCCUCUCCGUCCUCAACCUCACAAACACCAAUCUCACUGGCGCCAUUCCACCCGAACUUGGCAGGCUACAUCGUCUAAAGUAUCUUCGCCUCAGUGGAAAUAGCUUGUCUAGCAUCAUACCUCCUACCCUGGGGAACCUAACGAGGCUGGAGUUCCUUGGUCUAGAUUUGAACCAACUCUCGGGCCAGAUCCCUCCUGAAUUGCUACUUCAUAUGCACAACCUUCGGAAAAUUAAUUUGUAUGGAAAUGACUUGAGUGGCGAAAUAUCUCCGUAUUUGUUCAACAACACGCCUUCAUUGUCAUACAUCAGUUUUGGCAAUAACAGCCUAUCGGGUCCUAUACCACACACCAUUGCGUCCCUACCCAUGCUUCAAGUCUUAAACCUACAGGUUAAUCAACUCUCCGGCCUAGUGCCGCAAGCCAUGUACAACAUGUCUAGGUUACAAAUUUUUGCACUUGCAGGAAACGGCAACCUGUCUGGAAUAUUUCCGACCAAUCAAACUUUUAGCCUCCCAAUGCUACAAUUUUUUUCACUAUUUCGUAACAACUUUACCGGUCGGUUUCCGUCGGGGCUUGCAUCAUGCCAGUACCUAAAAGUAAUAUCUUUGAGUAGAAAUUCCUUUGUGGAUGUCGUGCCAACAUGGUUAGCCAAAUUAUCACACCUUGAAGAGCUUUCCUUGGGUUUUAAUAACCUCAUAGGGUCAAUUCCAGCUAAUCUAGGCAAUCUCACCAGUCUUGCUGCAUUAGAACUAUCUAAUGGCAACUUGGAAGGGGAAAUUCCACGAGAAUUGGGUCUUAUGCAGAAACUAUCAUAUUUGCAUGUUGGAUACAACCAAUUCACAGGAAACAUUCCAGACUCCCUCUGGAAUUUGUCCGUAUUGUCUUACCUAAAUUUGGGAACUAAUCAAUUGUCCGGCCAAGGACCAAGUACACUUGAAUAUAAUGCAGAUUUGAACGUGCUUGAUUUGUCGGAUAACAAUUUAGAUGGGAAUUUAGACUUCUUGUUAGAUCUUUCCAAGUGCAGACAACUCCAAGGCAUUGACGUACAAGAAAAUUCUUUCACCGGCAUCCUUCCUGACCUUGUGGGAAACAUCACUUCACGUUUAGCCAUUUUCUCUGCAGGUUAUAAUAAGUUAACAGGUGGCCUUCCGGUAGCAAUUUCAAACAUAAGCAGUCUUGAAGUGAUAGAUCUUUCAAACAACCUAUUCACCGAGCCAAUUCCAGAGUCCAUUUCUAUGUUAGAAAAUCUUUUGUACCUUGAUCUCUCCCACAAUCACAUGUUAGGUCUGAUACCAACACAAAUAGGUAUGCUCGGGAGGGUUCAACAUUUAUUUCUCCAAGCAAACAAAUUCUCGGGCUGCAUACCAGGCAACUUUGGUAACCUUAGUUGGUUAGAAAACAUCAACUUGUCUAAUAACCAGCUAAGCUCAACAAUACCCACGAGCUUUUUCCACCUGAAUAAACUUAUCAAAUUGGAUAUUUCUCACAAUUCCUUUGUUGGUGCACUACCAUCCGAUAUUUCUAGUCUAAGACAAACAUAUCAAAUGGACAUCUCUUCAAACCUAUUGACAGGAAGCAUCCCAAGAUCACUUGGACAACUUAACAUGCUAACCUACCUAAAUCUAUCCCACAACUCAUUGGAAAACUCAAUUCCGGGCACAUUCGAAAAACUAAAAAGCUUAGCAUCAUUAGACCUCUCAUUUAACAAUCUCUCGGGUACCAUUCCCAAGUUUCUUGCAAACUUUACCUAUUUGACUAUCUUAAACCUUUCAUUCAACAGGCUAGAAGGCCAAAUACCCGAGGGAGGUAUUUUCUCAAACCUCACGGUACAAUCUUUGAUUGGCAAUGCUGGCCUAUGUGGUGCUCCGCGCCUCCGAUUUUCGCCUUGCCUUGGCAGAUCUCCCUCAACUGCUAUACACUUCCCACUAUUCCUACUCCCAACCCUCAUAUUAGCUGUGGUUGCCAUUGCCAUUUGUGUAUACCUAUGGCUUGAAAAGAAAAUUAAGAAGGAUGAGUGCAAUGCAUCUUUAAAUCCAACCAAUGUCAUGGGCCAUCAGAUAAUCUCUUAUCGGGAGCUCAUUCACGCCACCAAUAAUUUUGGUGAACAUAAUAUCCUCGGAUCAGGAAGCUUCGGAAAAGUCUAUAAGGGCUUAUUGAGCAACGGCUUGGUGGUCGCGAUAAAAGUUCUUGACAUGCAACUAGAGCAGGCCAUUCAAAGUUUUGACAUUGAGUGUCGCGUGCUUUGCGUGACGCGACACCGCAACCUGAUAAAGAUACUCAACACAUGUUCCACACAUGACUUCAAAGCACUAGUGCUUGAGUACAUGCCGAAUGGUAGCUUAGAGGCACUCCUACACUCCUCUCAAAGUACACUACACCUAGGAUUCCUUGAUAGACUUGGCAUCAUGCUCGAUGUGUCGAUGGCAAUUGAGUAUUUGCACCAUGAUCAUCAUGAGUUGAUCUUGCACUGUGACUUGAAACCUAGUAAUGUGUUGUUUGACGAGGAGAUGACUGCACAUGUGGCGGACUUUGGCAUUGCAAGGUUGCUUCUCGACGACAACUCAGUGAUAUCUGGGAGCAUGCCUGGAACAGUUGGAUACAUGGCACCAGAGUACGGAACACUUGGAAAAGCAUCGCGGAAGAGCGAUGUGUUCAGUUAUGGGAUCAUGCUCCUUGAAGUUUUCACCGGAAGAAGACCGACCGACGCUAUGUUCGAUGCACAGCUAACCCUUAGGCAGUGGGUUCAUCAAGCAUUUCAUGCAGAUCUUUUCCAGGUCGUCGAUGGCCACCUAGUGCAAGGUUCCUCUCUUUCGAACUGCAGCUUGGACAAUGGUUUUGUUGUGUCCUUGUUCGAGCUGGGUUUACUAUGUUCUAGCAACUCGCCUGACCAAAGGAUGACGAUGCGCGACGUGGUGGUGACGCUGAAGAAGAUCAAAGCUGAGUUCACUGGGCGAACAUCCAAGACAUCAUGUAGUGCAACACAGUGA